AACAGCCGCAACUUUGCAAACAGCUUGUUUAUUCCGCAGCAUACGGAACACUGCUUGUUUCAGCUGGAAUAGUCUUUAACAAAUCCGAAAAAUGUCUUCAAAACAGCACACCCUCUCAGCUCUCCUGCAGAUCUUCAGAGAGGGAAGAGAAGGGAGAGGAAAAAAUAAGAGAAAUGACUGUGCAAGGGUCUUAAAUCCAGUGGCCUGAUGGUGGUGGUCAAGCUCCUUCAGUGCUUGGGUCCCCCCUGCAUAGUUCACUAAAGAGUGGACUCUGUACCUGCUGUUUUAAAGGUUCAUUUUGAACUUACAACCAAGGCUGACACCUGUGGAACCCUGCCUUUGAUUGAUUGUUGAGGCCAUUGAUCUAAUUUUGAAACCUUUGAAUUUCUCCUCUGCAUCCUUCCUUUUCUUGUAUGGCGUGGAGUAAACCUAAUUCCUAUGUGCCUCAUGCAGGGCUUCGCUCAGCACGGUGGGAAAACUGAGUGAAUAAAUAAAUAAAAUAAACCU
Molecule: long non-coding RNA, 507 nt
Organism: Perca fluviatilis (European perch)
Lineage: Eukaryota; Metazoa; Chordata; Actinopteri; Perciformes; Percidae
Exons: 4
Source: RefSeq, a predicted model, not a curated record